This 622-nucleotide ribosomal RNA is filed under the name uncultured bacterium. RNAcentral describes it as "bacterial SSU rRNA". It matches the Rfam family "Bacterial small subunit ribosomal RNA", at positions 38 to 644 of the family's 1533-position model. The record is from RNAcentral.
GUNAGUAGGCCUAACACAUGCAAGUCGAACGGCAGCACAGGAGAGCUUGCUCUCUGGGUGGCGAGUGGCGGACGGGUGAGGAAUACAUCGGAAUCUACUCUGUCGUGGGGGAUAACGUAGGGAAACUUACGCUAAUACCGCAUACGACCUACGGGUGAAAGCAGGGGAUCUUCGGACCUUGCGCGAUUGAAUGAGCCGAUGUCGGAUUAGCUAGUUGGCGGGGUAAAGGCCCACCAAGGCGACGAUCCGUAGCUGGUCUGAGAGGAUGAUCAGCCACACUGGAACUGAGACACGGUCCAGACUCCUACGGGAGGCAGCAGUGGGGAAUAUUGGACAAUGGGCGCAAGCCUGAUCCAGCCAUACCGCGUGGGUGAAGAAGGCCUUCGGGUUGUAAAGCCCUUUUGUUGGGAAAGAAAUCCAGCCGGCUAAUACCUGGUUGGGAUGACGGUACCCAAAGAAUAAGCACCGGCUAACUUCGUGCCAGCAGCCGCGGUAAUACGAAGGGUGCAAGCGUUACUCGGAAUUACUGGGCGUAAAGCGUGCGUAGAGUGGNAUUUAACGUCCGUUGUGAAAGCCCUGGGCUCAACCUUGGGGAACUGGCAGUGGAUAACUGGAUGACUAG